Molecule: ribosomal RNA, 442 nt
Filed under: uncultured bacterium
Lineage: Bacteria
Description: bacterial SSU rRNA
Rfam family: Bacterial small subunit ribosomal RNA
Source: RNAcentral
UUACGGGAGGCAGCAGUGAGGAAUAUUGGGCAAUGGGCGCAAGCCUGACCCAGCGACGCCGCGUGGGCGAAGAAGGCCUUCGGGUUGUAAAGCCCUUUUCUGCCGGACGAGCGAGGACGGUACGGCAGGAAUCAGUCACGGCUAACUACGUGCCAGCAGCCGCGGUAAAACGUAGGUGGCAAGCGUUAUCCGGAAUCACUGGGCGUAAAGGGCAUCUAGGCGGUCUAUCAAGUUGCGUGUGAAAGCCUCCGGCUCAACCGGGGGAGGACAUGCAAAACUGAUCGGCUCGAGGGUCGGAGAGGGACGCGGAAUUCCCGGUGUAGUGGUGAAAUGCGUAGAGAUCGGGAGGAACACCAGUGGCGAAGGCGGCGUCCUGGCCGACACCUGACGCUGAAGUGCGAAAGCGUGGGGAGCAAACGGGAUUAGAUACCCGUGUAGUCCA